AGGGAAAUUAGUUAAAGAAAUAACGUACGCUUGUCAAGCUUAGAUUACUGUAGUAUAUACAGUAUUUCCCUU
Molecule: transfer RNA, 72 nt
Filed under: Lunella correensis
Lineage: Eukaryota; Metazoa; Mollusca; Gastropoda; Trochida; Turbinidae
Description: tRNA-Asp
Source: RNAcentral